This 547-nucleotide long non-coding RNA is filed under the name Monodelphis domestica (gray short-tailed opossum). Its description in RNAcentral is "lncRNA (ENSMODG00000042517.1)". Lineage: Eukaryota; Metazoa; Chordata; Mammalia; Didelphimorphia; Didelphidae. The record is from RNAcentral.
ACACAGCGCUAUGGUUGGUCACUUUUCAUUCCAUCAGCCAAUAGUGUGCCACAAUAAAUGUCACUCCUCCAUGCAGAAUUAGAUAUAUUAAAAAACAAUCCAGAGAUACAGUGAAGCCGGGAUAGGUGGACGACACAUGGUGAGGGACGGCUGUGGUUAACUACUAGGUAGUUUGGGAGAAUGUCAGAAAAGGCAUCAAGCAGAAGAGCCAAGUGAAGCGAAGCUCGAGCUGGGUCUGGAAGGAAGAGAGGGAUUUCCUGAGCUGGAGGAGGCUUUCGGAGUGGUCUGAGAACCCAGCAAGUGCCAGUUUUGCUAAGCUUGGCUGUCUGGUCCUCUAGGAAGAAAAGAAAAGAAAGGAAAAAGGUAGCUGUUCUGGGGCAGCAGCCAGUUGGGAUCAUUAGGAGUUGAAGAACAAGGAAGCUAAAGGAAAGCCACCUGUUGGGUGAUUUUCUAACACUAAGCAGACACCUUCAUUUUUAGUACAGUAUAAAAAUAUAAUGAUAUAAUAUAAAGUACUGAAAUAUUUGAAAGGAUCCUACAGUCUGUG